UGCCAGCCGCCGCGGUAAUACGGGGGGGGCUAGCGUUAUUCGGAAUUACUGGGCGUAAAGGGCGCGCAGGCGGCAUGGUCAGUGAGAUGUGAAAGCCCUCGGCUUAACCGAGGAACUGCUUCUCAUACUGCCAAGCUAGGGGAUGGGAGAGGAAGACGGAAUUCCCGGUGUAGCGGUGAAAUGCGUAGAGAUCGGGAGGAACACCAGUGGCGAAGGCGGUUUUCUGGACCAUUACUGACGCUGAGGCGCGAAAGCGUGGGGAGCAAACAGGAUUAGAUA
RNAcentral lists this ribosomal RNA (279 nucleotides) under uncultured bacterium. Its description in RNAcentral is "partial 16S ribosomal RNA". It matches the Rfam family "Bacterial small subunit ribosomal RNA", at positions 506 to 784 of the family's 1533-position model. The record is from RNAcentral.